RNAcentral lists this transfer RNA (72 nucleotides) under Aedes aegypti (yellow fever mosquito). It matches the Rfam family "tRNA". From Rfam's summary of the family: Transfer RNA (tRNA) molecules are approximately 80 nucleotides in length. Their secondary structure includes four short double-helical elements and three loops (D, anti-codon, and T loops). Lineage: Eukaryota; Metazoa; Arthropoda; Insecta; Diptera; Culicidae. The record is from Rfam by way of RNAcentral.
GGCUCGGUUUCUCAGUUGGUAAAGCACUCGUCUAGCAUACAUGAGUCGUGGGUUCGAAUCCCACCUGAGCAC